Pseudophryne corroboree (corroboree frog) is the source of this 843-nucleotide long non-coding RNA. RefSeq lists it as uncharacterized. The transcript has 3 exons. The record is from RefSeq and is a predicted model, not a curated record. Lineage: Eukaryota; Metazoa; Chordata; Amphibia; Anura; Myobatrachidae.
AAGCGAAAGCCUAAGAAAACGAGCCACUCUGCAGAGUCUGCCUGCUGUAUAAUGAGACCACUGUGGCUCUGCUACGUGUGUCUGUUGUGUUGGGCAUGCUGUCACAGUGGAUGCCGCCGGGGUCUGGUGGCUCGAGAAGCUUCUGGUUCCAGAUCAGAAGGACAGGCUCCUCCAAGCUACGGAGUCUCUGUAGCUGCUGGUGCGCUAUCUGGAAAGCAUGGGCGGGCAAGAGCCACCCCCAACGGCUCCACCUGCUGAUAGUGGAGGCAUGGCAGCCGAGAGGAGAAGCCCUCACUAGACCUCCAGGAUAUCUUUUUCUCACCCACCGUAAAACAGAGACCACCCAGAACAAGAGAAAGGGAGCCAAUGAAAGACUGGCAUUCCACACACAAAUCAUCUAUUGUGGCGGGCAUUCCAUCACUGCAGUGGACCAGGUGGGCAGAGCCUCAGUGACCGGGAGCUGAGCGCUGUGAAGUGACGCUAUUGUGCAGCGCCCACUCCCCGCUUCCGUCAUUUUGGUGUCACCCCGUCGGAUAGUGGUCACCCAGUAUCCCCUAGUGACGCCACUGCACACGCACACAUAUGUACAGUAUUCUGACUUUUUAAAAGUUACAUAAACAAAUUCUAUUAAAGACAAAAGGUAUUACAUAAAGUUAAGUUGCAGUGCCAAUAGCAAUGUGCUGAGAACAGUUAUGUGCUCAACAAUUCAACCUGUUCAUUUCUUAAAAUAGUAAAAAUAUUCAGCAACAGCUGUCAGCUCUUCCUGGUAUACUGCGAAAACAUGUUUGUUAAACCAAGUAUUUCAAAUCUAUAUCUUUUUACUUCACAGUAGCUGACAAAUAG